CCCAAACUCUAGUCUUUGCGUUAUCUUUGCUUAAACUACCCAUUCAUUGAAUUUCUUUCAUUAAAGCUUCAAUUUCCGACUAGAAGGCUAUUAUGUAACUAUUAACAUAAAGCAAAUCAUAAUGGCUACUUAAAAGUGUUAUCCGGUUACCUCGGUUUCAGACUAGAUAGGAUUCACAUCAUGAUAUAACAUUAUAGCCACACCUAAGUUAAUAACUAUGUUCAAAAAUUAAGCAGUUCCAAUAUUAUCAUAGGCCACAUGAAUUUCAAACAAACUAAAAUGCCAGGAUUCAUGCAAUAUGAUCUAACUAUACUAAAUGCAAUAAAAUAAGCAAAUUUA
This 339-nucleotide long non-coding RNA is filed under the name Panax ginseng (ginseng). RNAcentral's name for it is "long non-coding RNA (PGIN_LNC013253)". Lineage: Eukaryota; Viridiplantae; Streptophyta; Magnoliopsida; Apiales; Araliaceae. The record is from RNAcentral.